Pelobates cultripes (western spadefoot toad) is the source of this 404-nucleotide non-coding RNA. The record is from the annotation of a GenBank genome assembly. NCBI's taxonomy places the organism in Eukaryota, Metazoa, Chordata, Amphibia, Anura, Pelobatidae.
CAUGAGGACAGCCUACACUGCCAGACCCCGAUUGGCAGCGUGGUACAGUAGGCGGGUCGCACAUGCUAUGCCACUCUAACAGUUAAAUGCCCUCCUACUGUAGAACGGCAUAGCACGCCCCAAUGUAGUGAAUGAUUUCAGGACCAAUAAUAUUGCAGUCCUGGUAAGUUAACUUUAGGUGACACCAACCCACAGAAAACUGUAUUUAAAAAAUGAGUCCCACAAAACCUAAAGAUGACAGAGGUUAUGAUAUAGGGAGAACUAUAGCUAUGUGAAAUUUAAGUGUAUACAGAAUUGAGAACUUUAUAAAGCAAAUACCUAAAAAUAUAAGUAAUGUGCUAAGUGAAAUGAUCAUUCACUAUAAUAGUCAGAAGUGCUCAAUAUAUAGAGAAUAUAUACAGAGG